This is a long non-coding RNA of Alnus glutinosa, 2264 nucleotides long. RefSeq lists it as uncharacterized. The transcript is spliced from 2 exons. The record is from RefSeq and is a predicted model, not a curated record. NCBI's taxonomy places the organism in Eukaryota, Viridiplantae, Streptophyta, Magnoliopsida, Fagales, Betulaceae.
UUUUCUCUUCGUCUUCUCUUCUAUUCUUCUUCCUUCUUCUUUGUUCUUCUCACCGAUCACACAGAGAGACACGAGAGAGUGAGAUGGAGUGAUUGAGAGGGAGUUGAGAGCAGAGAGUGAGAUCGAGACAGAGAGAUGAGACCGAUAGAGAGAGAUCGAGAGACUGAGAGGGAAAGAGAGACAUAGAGUGUGAGAUAGAGGGAGACUGAGAGAUCGAGAGAGAGUGAGAAGGAAGGAUCCGGUGGAUCCGUGAGCUGGAGACCCGACAGAGAGAGCAAGGGGAGCCGAUUUUCGGCAAGCCCGUGACCCGCAACCCGCCAGACCCGAGAGAGAGAACCCGGGCGGUUCGAGAACCCGUGACCCGUUUGUGUGAAACCCGAACGACCCACUGAACCAGAGACGAUCCAGCAGCCUGAGACGUGAUUUCCGGCGAAGACCCGUUAACCCACGAAGGCCCGUAACCCAGAACCACUCGGACCCGCGACCCAUGACCUGCUGAACCCGUGAGGAAGACCCGGUUCUCCAAGUGCGGUUUCCGGCGACUUUUCCGGCAGAAAUCGGAGGCGAUUUUUAAUGGAUUUUGAGGAAAAUCCCCAAGGCUUGUGUCAUGAUUGGAGACGUAGACUUGUUCUCCAAUGUAGAGUUCGAGUAAUUGGAAUCCAGUGGAAGUUCGAGUAAGGAGUCUAAUGCAGUCAAGGUGGGUAUUCCACUUACUGAGAAAAUAUAUAUUUUUAUAUAUAUUGGAUUGAUAAAAAUAUAUAUGUUGUUUAUGAAUCCGAACCAACCAUAUGAUGAAAUGUAUAUGCUUUGAGAUGAUUUGUUUAGUUUCGAUUAUGUUUAAACUAUAUCAAUGAUGUUAAAGAGAUAGUGUAUGAGUAAAAAGUAUUGAAUAGAUUUAAAGUGUUAAGUUCUGCGGUUGAGAUUUAAAUUAUGCAAAUUGUUUGAGAACAUGUCAUGUUGAAACUGUGUAGAGUUUAUAAAGAAACUAAGUUUUGAAUGUCUUCGAAAUGAUUGAUAAAAUGUUGGAUUUGUUUAGUUUUGAGAGGACGUGAUUUAACAACUGCAUGAUUUCAGCGUGAUACAGUAGUGAAAUAUAUACUGGUCAAGCACGGAACAUUGAGCAUGUAGUAUAGAGCAUACAUAUCAGAGUAACAGUAUCAGCACAUUGAGGCAGUAUCAGCAACACAUUGAGGCAUGCAUAUCAUGUAUAGCAUUGUUUUAUGAGUGAUGUUUUUAUGCUAUGAGUAGUUUUGCUAGACGUAUUGGUAUGCAUAAGAGUUUUCAUGAAAAGAUCUUAUGUAUAUUUUUAUCGGAUGGUCACAUGUGUUAAUAUCAUACAUUGAACUUGAAAGUACAUGGAUACAUGACUACCCAGGUGUGAGUAAUGGCAUGUCUAUGAGUAAGAAGGUCGACUGUUCUUGUUCUUCAGGAAAGACGUGUUAGCAUGAUUGAGUUUAACUCUAGUGCUCUUAUGAUCUACUGACGUCAAGGCACGAAGUUGAAAUACGAUUAGAGAUGGUGUUGCGAGUGUUUUGUUGACGGAUGUUAUCCUAGUACGGAAGAGUAAGAUGCCAUGUUCUUUGCUUAAGACCUAUGUGUAUACGUGAUAUCUGUGAUGGAGUGAUCGUGUGCACAUAUGUCUGAGCGACCGUUGAAAAGUAUUAUUAUAGACGUUUCUAUAUGUAGAAAUUUCCAAGGAGGGAUGUCUGGAAUUUCUACAUAUGUUCACAGCUAUAUAGUAUGUUUUAAAUGUUUUCUGGAUAGUCGGUGUUUGCUGCAUUAGCUAUUGGUAAAUUGUGGCUAAUAUAGUGCUCGCACGACUAAAAAUAAAAUAAGGUUGGUUCUUUGUGAAAACUCAGUUAGUCUUAUACCAUUGAGGUCUUAGUAUGUUUUAUGCUAAGGUGGUGAACUCAUUCUUUCACCUAUGCGGAUGUGGAUACCACCACAAUCGUGUAAAUGAUGUUUCUUUGGCUGCAGGUACUUCGGUAUAGUCGAUGGGUCGGUAGCAGUGUGCUUGGGAUAUUAUGACUGAAGCUCACCGCGACGGUUGUAAUUGUCGGACCACGGGUUGUCCACUAUUUUAUAGGUUUGGUAUAGCUUGUGACGUUUGUGUCACAUAUUCUUUGUAAAGCCAUAGUUAUUAUGUAAAUAUAGUGUUAAUAAGACUUAAUCAGAUAGAUGUUAAAUGACUCUUUGUUGUAAUUAAUUUGUAAUAGAUGUAUAAGAAGUAAUUUCCGCUAUUCAGAUUUAUGUUUUCCGCUGCA